CCUACGGGAGGCUGCAGUGAGGAAUAUUGGUCAAUGGACGAGAGUCUGAACCAGCCAAGUAGCGUGAAGGAUGACUGCCCUAUGGGUUGUAAACUUCUUUUAUAUGGGAAUAAAACGUUCCACGUGUGGGAUUUUGUAUGUACCAUAUGAAUAAGGAUCGGCUAACUCCGUGCCAGCAGCCGCGGUAAUGCGGAGGAUCCGAGCGUUAUCCGGAUUUAUUGGGUUUAAAGGGAGCGUAGGUGGAUUGUUAAGUCAGUUGUGAAAGUUUGCGGCUCAACCGUAAAAUUGCAGUUGAAACUGGCAGUCUUGAGUACAGUAGAGGUGGGCGGAAUUCGUGGUGUAGCGGUGAAAUGCUUAGAUAUCACGAAGAACUCCGAUUGCGAAGGCAGUUCACUGGACUGCAACUGACACUGAGGCUCGAAAGUGUGGGUAUCAAACAGGAUUAGAUACCCCAGUAGUC
Molecule: ribosomal RNA, 460 nt
Filed under: uncultured bacterium
Lineage: Bacteria
Description: partial 16S ribosomal RNA
Rfam family: Bacterial small subunit ribosomal RNA
Source: RNAcentral